CUACGGGCUGCUCCAGUAGGGAAUAUUGCGCAAUGGGGGAAACCCUGACGCAGUGACGCCGCGUGAGUGAUGAAGGCCCUCGGGUCGUAAAGCUCUGUUGUAGGGGAAGAAAUGCCCAUGUAACUCAUGGGAGCUGACGGUACCCUAUAAGAAAGGACCGGCUAACUACGUGCCAGCAGCCGCGGUAAUACGUAGGGUCCUAGCGUUGUUCGGAAUUACUGGGCGUAAAGAGUAUGUAGGCGGGUUUGUAAGUCAGAUGUGAAAUCCCAGGGCUCAACCUUGGAAUUGCAUUUGAAACUACAGAUCUUGAAUAUUGAAGGGGUUAGCGGAAUUCCUGGUGUAGUGGUGAAAUACGUAGAUAUCAGGAGGAACAUCUGAGGCGAAGGCGGCUAACUGGUCAUAUAUUGACGCUGAGAUACGAAAGCGUGGGGAGCAAACAGGAUUAGAUACCCUUGUAGUC
Molecule: ribosomal RNA, 460 nt
Filed under: uncultured bacterium
Lineage: Bacteria
Description: partial 16S ribosomal RNA
Rfam family: Bacterial small subunit ribosomal RNA
Source: RNAcentral